This 576-nucleotide ribosomal RNA is filed under the name Rhodotorula mucilaginosa. RNAcentral's name for it is "partial 26S ribosomal RNA". It matches the Rfam family "Eukaryotic large subunit ribosomal RNA", at positions 64 to 481 of the family's 3401-position model. The record is from RNAcentral. Lineage: Eukaryota; Fungi; Basidiomycota; Microbotryomycetes; Sporidiobolales; Sporidiobolaceae.
UCUUGCCGCUAUUAGCUAGUAGCGGCGAGCGAAGCGGGAAGAGCUCAAAUUUAUAAUCUGGCACCUUCGGUGUCCGAGUUGUAAUCUCUAGAAAUGUUUUCCGCGCUGGACCGCACACAAGUCUGUUGGAAUACAGCGGCAUAGUGGUGAGACCCCCGUAUAUGGUGCGGACGCCCAGCGCUUUGUGAUACAUUUUCGAAGAGUCGAGUUGUUUGGGAAUGCAGCUCAAAUUGGGUGGUAAAUUCCAUCUAAAGCUAAAUAUUGGCGAGAGACCGAUAGCGAACAAGUACCGUGAGGGAAAGAUGAAAAGCACUUUGGAAAGAGAGUUAACAGUACGUGAAAUUGUUGGAAGGGAAACGCUUGAAGUCAGACUUGCUUGCCGAGCAAUCGGUUUGCAGGGCAACAUCGGUUUUCCCGGAUUGAUAAUGGUAGAAAAAAAGGUGUGGUUGCCCCCGGGGGGAAAAAAUCUUUUCGGGGUUACCCCUCGGGGGGACCGAAGGGGCCCAAAGAGCAAUUUGGGGGUGUCCCCCCCCCCUCUCCCCCCUCCCAGGGGGAGCCCUGGGUGGGUUUUUUUUC